UUGGCAGCGUGUCUAGUAUAGCACUUUAUACUGUGAAACUGCGAAUGGCUCAUUAAAUCAGUUAUCGUUUAUUUGAUAGUACCUUACUACAUGGAUACCUGUGGUAAUUCUAGAGCUAAUACAUGCUAAAAACCUCGACUUCGGAAGGGGUGUAUUUAUUAGAUAAAAAACCAAUGCCCUUCGGGGCUCCUUGGUGAUUCAUAAUAACUUAACGAAUCGCAUGGCCUUGCGCCGGCGAUGGUUCAUUCAAAUUUCUGCCCUAUCAACUUUCGAUGGUAGGAUAGUGGCCUACCAUGGUGGCAACGGGUAACGGGGAAUUAGGGUUCGAUUCCGGAGAGGGAGCCUGAGAAACGGCUACCACAUCCAAGGAAGGCAGCAGGCGCGCAAAUUACCCAAUCCCGACACGGGGAGGUAGUGACAAUAAAUACUGAUACGGGGCUCUUUUGGGUCUCGUAAUUGGAAUGAGUACAAUCUAAAUCCCUUAACGAGGAACAAUUGGAGGGCAAGUCUGGUGCCAGCAGCCGCGGUAAUUCCAGCUCCAAUAGCGUAUAUUAAAGUUGUUGCAGUUAAAAAGCUCGUAGUUGAACCUUGGGUCUGGCUGGCCGGUCCGCCUCACCGCGAGUACUGGUCCGGCUGGACCUUUCCUUCUGGGGAACCUCAUGGCCUUCACUGGCUGUGGGGGGAACCAGGACUUUUACUGUGAAAAAAUUAGAGUGUUCAAAGCAGGCCUUUGCUCGAAUACAUUAGCAUGGAAUAAUAGAAUAGGACGUGCGGUUCUAUUUUGUUGGUUUCUAGGACCGCCGUAAUGAUUAAUAGGGAUAGUCGGGGGCGUCAGUAUUCAGCUGUCAGAAGUGAAAUUCUUGGAUUUGCUGAAGACUAACUACUGCGAAAGCAUUCGCCAAGGAUGUUUUCAUUAAUCAGGGAACGAAAGUUAGGGGAUCGAAGACGAUCAGAUACCGUCGUAGUCUUAACCAUAAACUAUGCCGACUAGGGAUCGGGCGGUGUUUCUAUGAUGACCCGCUCGGCACCUUACAAGAAUCAAAUUUUUGGGUUCUGGGGGGAAUAUGGUCGCAAGGCUGAAACUUAAGAAAUUGACGGAAGGGCCCCCAAAGG
Molecule: ribosomal RNA, 1113 nt
Filed under: Aspergillus tamarii
Lineage: Eukaryota; Fungi; Ascomycota; Eurotiomycetes; Eurotiales; Aspergillaceae
Description: SSU rRNA
Rfam family: Eukaryotic small subunit ribosomal RNA
Source: RNAcentral